Molecule: small nucleolar RNA, 106 nt
Filed under: Olea europaea subsp. europaea
Lineage: Eukaryota; Viridiplantae; Streptophyta; Magnoliopsida; Lamiales; Oleaceae
Description: Plant small nucleolar RNA R71
Rfam family: Plant small nucleolar RNA R71
About the family: R71 is a member of the C/D box family of snoRNAs containing the C (UGAUGA) and D (CUGA) box motifs. Multiple nearly identical copies of this snoRNA have been identified in Arabidopsis, and it is thought to function as a 2'-O-ribose methylation guide for 18S ribosomal RNA.
Source: Rfam by way of RNAcentral
AUGUCAAUGCUAGGGCAUUUUCUUAACAAAUUCUUGAACCUCUCCCAUACCUUAGGAUAGCUCUCAUAAUCUUUUUGCUUGAAAGGGUAGACUUCAUAGCUGAUUU